RNAcentral lists this ribosomal RNA (253 nucleotides) under uncultured bacterium. RNAcentral describes it as "partial 16S ribosomal RNA". It matches the Rfam family "Bacterial small subunit ribosomal RNA", at positions 524 to 776 of the family's 1533-position model. The record is from RNAcentral.
UACGGGGGGUGCAAACGUUGCUCGGAAUUAUUGGGCGUAAAGCGUACGUAGGCGGUCCAGCAAGUCGGGUGUGAAAGCCCUCGGCUUAACCGAGGAAGUGCAUUCGAAACUACAGGACUUGAAUACUGGAGAGGAUUGCGGAAUUCCCGGUGUAGAGGUGAAAUUCGUAGAUAUCGGGAGGAACACCAGUGGCGAAGGCGGCAAUCUGGACAGAUAUUGACGCUGAUGUACGAAAGCGUGGGGAGCAAACAGG